Long non-coding RNA from Apis florea (little honeybee), 1502 nucleotides. NCBI's taxonomy places the organism in Eukaryota, Metazoa, Arthropoda, Insecta, Hymenoptera, Apidae. The record is from RefSeq and is a predicted model, not a curated record.
UCUCAUCUUUCCAAAGCAGAACGCCCUCUUCUGGAGAGAGAGAGAAAGAGAGAGAAAGAGAAGUUGAACUCUCUCUUGAACGUGGUCUUGCUCGAUUAAAAAUUAGCCCGUUCGCGGACUUUGAUAAACUCGGAUCGUAUGUCACAGUCGGUGAAACGAUAUCUGCACAUAGUGGAAUACGAAAGGUCUAUAAAUAGGAGGAACGUGGGAUUCGGAUCUGAAGAUUUGGAGAGACGUGUCGAGCGCCCUCUAGUCGAGUUCGUACUCGGUGCUGCGCGACAGGAGAUGCAAAGGCUUCACGCCUAAGAGGGCCUGUCGUCGAUCUAUAAGGACGGUAUUUGACCACGAUGCCACGUAAGCCACGACCGCGGCCCCUGUCCUCGAGGAUUUGCCGCGAAAACCCUUCUCGGUUUCGAAGGUGAUCAGUCACCUCAGAUCCACGGGGCAAACAAACUUAAGCUUGACCGUGGGGGCCGAAGGUGACGAGGAUCGCAAACGAUGUGUCGAAGCUUUGACGAAUUCGAUCCGGAAACAGGAUAUCGUUGGUCAGGAUUCAUGUAAGAAGAACAAAGUUUCUACUGGCUGAUUUUGACUCGAAUACAAAUCAAGAUCGGGACUCUUAAAUCUCCGAAGAAUGGGAACGAGAAUUUCUUUCGGACCGCCUCAAAGUGUAGAGGUAAGCAUGGUACAAGGUGGCGCCACCUUGGCGGCAGUGGCCAACUUAACAACCGUGUAAAAAGCGACGAAAUCGAGAGUGUCGGUGGGCCUGGCGAAGAGACACGAUCAAAGAGGAAAGAGGGAACAGCCUAUAAAACAAUUGACGCUCCCGCGGUAUCAACGAGUAUCCGUUAAACCUGUUUUCUACUUCUCCUAACCCAUCGAAUCCACUUUGAUCAAGUUGCCUUCAGAACUGAAUGAAAUAACCUUCUUUUGCUCGCGACAUCUCUCUCUCUCUCUCUCUCUCGGAAAUUAAUAAAAUAAAGCGAGACAAAGUGAAACGAGGAGAAAUGGAAAAUACGCUUAUUGGACGAAAUAACAGGGAUAAAGGUAACCGCAAUGGCGUGUCGUUACAAAGGAUCGAGACGAAUCUCAUAAACUCGGCUCGUUGCGAUCUCUCCGGUGAUUCAGAGUGGCGAACACAAUCGCGUGGAGCAAUUUUUGCAGUAGAUUUGACGAUUCCCAUCCCUCUUCCGCGCUGGCGCGUCCUUAUUCUUCUAAAUUGUUCCCAUUCGAGAACGAGCUCGUCCCUGAAACGCUCGUUCGCGCUUAUAAAUCUCAGCCUCGAGCGGUGACGUUCAGGAGGAGUGAGAGGCGGGCGUAAGUACGAAUAAGAGAAGCGAGAAAGAGAGGAGAUAAGUAGAUACAAAUAUAAGAGCAAGAGAGAGACGUGAAUAGAUGUGAAUGAAAGAGCGAGAGAGAGAGAGAAGAUAUAAGAAGGGACGGAGCAUGAAUGGAGAAGAAGUACGUGUAAGCAAAAAUGGAAGGAGAGAAAAAAUAUAAAU